AGUGAACGCUGGCGGUAGGCCUAACACAUGCAAGUCGAACGGCCGCACAGUAAGAGCUUGCUCUUACGGGUGGCGACUGGCGGACGGGUGAGGCAUACAUCGGAAUCUACUUUUUCUUGGGGGAUAACGUAGGGAAACAUACGAUAAUACCGCAUACGACCUACGGGUGAAAUCAGGGGAUCUUCGGACCUUGCGCGAUUGUAUUAGCCGAUGUCGGAUUAGCUAGUUGGCGGGGUAAAGGCCCACCAAGGCGACGAUCCGUAGCUGGUCUGAGAGGAUGAUCAGCCACACUGGAACUGAGACACGGUCCAGACUCCUACGGGAGGCAGCAGUGGGGAAUAUUGGACAAUGGGCGCAAGCCUGACCCAGCCAUACCGCGUGGGUGAAGAAGGUCUUCGGGUUGUAAAGCCCUUUUGUUGGGAAAGAAAAGCAGCAGGUUAAUACCCCGCUGUUCUGACGGUACCCAAAGAAUAAGCACCGGCUAACUUCGUG
Molecule: ribosomal RNA, 492 nt
Filed under: uncultured bacterium
Lineage: Bacteria
Description: partial 16S ribosomal RNA
Rfam family: Bacterial small subunit ribosomal RNA
Source: RNAcentral